AUUGAACGCUAGCGGCAUGCCUAACACAUGCAAGUCGUACGGCAGCACGAGGAGCUUGCUCCUUGGUGGCGAGUGGCGGACGGGUGAGUAACGCGUAGGAAUCUGCCUUGUAGCGGGGGACAACCUGGGGAAACUCGGGCUAAUACCGCAUAAUGUCUUCGGACCAAAGUUGGGGACCUUCGGGCCUAACACUACAAGAUGAGCCUGCGUUGGAUUAGCUAGUUGGUGGGGAAAAGGCCUACCAAGGCAACGAUCCAUAGCUGUCUGAGAGGACGACCAGCCCCACUGGGACUGAGACACGGCCCAGACUCCUACGGGAGGCAGCAGUGGGGAAUAUUGGACAAUGGGCGAAAGCCUGAUCCAGCAAUGCCGCGUGUGUGAAGAAGGCCUUCGGGUUGUAAAGCACUUUCGUUGGGGAAGAAAAAGCCAAAGUUAAUAUCUUUGGAAAUUGACGUUACCCAAAGAAGAAGCACUGGCUAACUCUGUGCCAGCAGCCGCCGUAA
Molecule: ribosomal RNA, 503 nt
Filed under: uncultured bacterium
Lineage: Bacteria
Description: partial 16S ribosomal RNA
Rfam family: Bacterial small subunit ribosomal RNA
Source: RNAcentral